RNAcentral lists this ribosomal RNA (253 nucleotides) under uncultured bacterium. RNAcentral's name for it is "partial 16S ribosomal RNA". It matches the Rfam family "Bacterial small subunit ribosomal RNA", at positions 524 to 776 of the family's 1533-position model. The record is from RNAcentral.
UACGUAGGGGGCAAGCGUUGUCCGGAUUUACUGGGCGUAAAGAGCGUGUAGGCGGUUAGGUAGGUCCGUUGUGAAAACUCGAGGCUCAACCUCGAGACGCCGAUGGAAACCAUCUGACUAGAGUCCGGAAGAGGAGAGUGGAAUUCCUGGUGUAGCGGUGAAAUGCGCAGAUAUCAGGAAGAACACCCGUGGCUAAGGCGGCUCUCUAGUACGGUACUGACGCUGAGACGCGAAAGCGUGGGGAGCGAACAGG